RNAcentral lists this ribosomal RNA (468 nucleotides) under uncultured bacterium. Its description in RNAcentral is "partial 16S ribosomal RNA". It matches the Rfam family "Bacterial small subunit ribosomal RNA", at positions 28 to 507 of the family's 1533-position model. The record is from RNAcentral.
GACGAACGCUGGCGGCGUGCUUAACACAUGCAAGUCGAACGGAAAGGCCCUGCUUUUGGGGGGUGCCCGAGUGGCGAACGGGUGAGUAACACGUGAGUAACCUGCACUUGACUUUGGGAUAACUUCAGGAAACAGGGGCUCUUACCGGGUAGGAGCUAUUGCUGCAAGGUGGGGGUUGGAAAGUUUCGGCGGUUGGGGGUGGACUCGCGGCUUAUCAGCUUGAUGGUGGGGUAGUGGCUUACCAAGGCUUUGACGGGUAGCCGGCCUGGGAGGGGGAGCGGCCACACUGCGCCUGAGAUACGGCCCAGACUCGUACGGGACGCAGCAGUGGGGAGUAUUGCACAAUGGGCUGAAGCCUGAUGCGGCAACGCCGCGUGCGGGAUGACGGCCUUCGGGUAGUGAACCACUUUCGCCUGUGAUGAGGAGUUAGUGACGGUACUGGGUAAAGAAGCCCCGGCUAACUACGUG